ACUGUAAAAAAUUACCGUAAAUUUACGGCCUAAUUUUACGGUACUGAACUGUUUUAUAAAAUUACAGUGUCUUGCCGUAAAUGGUUGCAUGAGCAGUGGGCGUGGGGGGAGGAACUGCACUGAAAUUACUGAGUGGUAUGUGUUGGCCACUUAUUAAUAUGCAUUUUCUGUCUGGACUUGUAUUAUAAAGACUGAAUACUUUUGAAACGUCAUCAGUAGAUGGCCAAGUACUGUUCAAAUUCAAAGUUAACAUCUAGCAAAGAACAGUUAAAAUCUUAGAUGUGUUCCUACAUCACCUUUAACCGAGGACCCUUAACAUGGUUUUACUACAGUAAACGUCUGUUUUGGACUGCAUAACUAUUUUAAUAUAACCAUAAUGUCCAUAAAAGGGUCUGUUCAUUCAAUAAUCCGGGCAAAAUCUGCAUGAACGUAUACGUAGAAAUAAUAUUGAGGACACUGCACAAUAAUGAAACCUUUAGUUAAAGUCGAUUAAUAUUUCUGUUUUUAUUAAAUAAAUAUUCUAUGUUAAAUGGGCUCUAAACAGGCAAUUUCGGUCCCGGACGCAGCACUGGAAGAAGCACUUUACUUUCAUCUUUUAUAGCUUUAUUUACUUUUAUUAUGUUAUUUUUGGCGGAGGCGCGUAAGGCGCGUGUCCGUCCCUCGAAUGCUUUGUGAUCACGUGAUUAUUCAAACGGGAGACGCGCGAUCUGGAUUAACCGCUAUUCUCCUCAGACGAGUGAUGACCUCUGUGGUAUUAUGAGAUCCCUUUCUUGGUGUGUCUUGAUGUUUUAUAUUGGCUAAAGACAAGAUAUGUCUGCAAAUGCCGGUUCCAUGUCACAUGGCUUAUUCGAGACAAGAUCCACAAAAAACUCUGCAGAUUUUGUUACCAUCAACUUGCAUUAUACAACUGACAGACUGAAACGGUUGGACACAAAAAUCUACAUUUGUGUUCCACUGGAGAAACAAAGUCACCUACAUCUUGGAUGGCCUGGGGACUACCUGACCUGUUCCUGUUAAGAGCUAGUCACUCUUUGUGGAAUGUUCCUGGCCCAUUUUUUUCCACGUUUUUACAAAAGUUUUUUCAAUGACCUCAAAAUUGAUGUGUAAAAAUAAUAAUAAACUUGAAUUUGUUUAAA
This is a non-coding RNA of Misgurnus anguillicaudatus (oriental weatherfish), 1136 nucleotides long. The record is from RefSeq and is a predicted model, not a curated record. NCBI's taxonomy places the organism in Eukaryota, Metazoa, Chordata, Actinopteri, Cypriniformes, Cobitidae.